AUUGAACGCUGGCGGCAUGCCUAACACAUGCAAGUCGAACGGAAACGAUGGAAGCUUGCUUCCAGGCGUCGAGUGGCGGACGGGUGAGUAAUGCUUAGGAAUCUGCCCAGUAGUGGGGGACAACUCGGGGAAACUCGAGCUAAUACCGCAUACGCCCUACGGGGGAAAGCAGGGGAUCUUCGGACCUUGCGCUAUUGGAUGAGCCUAAGUCGGAUUAGCUUGUUGGUGAGGUAAAAGCUCACCAAGGCGACGAUCCGUAGCUGGUCUGAGAGGACGAUCAGCCACACUGGGACUGAGACACGGCCCAGACUCCUACGGGAGGCAGCAGUGGGGAAUAUUGGACAAUGGGGGCAACCCUGAUCCAGCAAUGCCGCGUGUGUGAAGAAGGCCUGCGGGUUGUAAAGCACUUUCAGUAGAGAAGAAAAGCUUAACGAUAAUACCGUUGAGUCUUGACGUAACCUACAGAAGAAGCUCCGGCUAACUCCGUGCCAGCAGCCGCGGUAAUACGGAGGGAGCGAGCGUUAAUCGGAAUUACUGGGCGUAAAGCGCGCGUAGGCGGCUUUGUAAGUCGGAUGUGAAAGCCCUGGGCUUAACCCAGGAAUUGCAUUCGAUACUGCAUGGC
RNAcentral lists this ribosomal RNA (622 nucleotides) under uncultured bacterium. RNAcentral's name for it is "bacterial SSU rRNA". It matches the Rfam family "Bacterial small subunit ribosomal RNA", at positions 28 to 641 of the family's 1533-position model. The record is from RNAcentral.